Long non-coding RNA from Zalophus californianus (California sea lion), 3825 nucleotides. RefSeq lists it as uncharacterized. Lineage: Eukaryota; Metazoa; Chordata; Mammalia; Carnivora; Otariidae. The record is from RefSeq and is a predicted model, not a curated record. The transcript has 4 exons.
UCUCCCACGGACCAAGGGAGCCACUCCCCACGUCAGGGCAGGAGCAGGUGGGGGAGGAGCGGACGGGGGGGGGGUCUACCCCCGGGACCAAGAGAGGCCCCUCCCCAGGGAGUCAGUGCCUCGCAAGUAGGCAGGAGCAGCUAGGAGGGGCGGGCAGGGGUCUCCCACGGCUCUGCCCGCCCCCGAAAGCUGAGGGCCGGCUGUGGGCAGACCCCUUUGCCUGGAGCACCACGGAAAGGGAGCCCUUGAAAAACCCAGACGAAGAGCGCCAAAGGUGAAGCCCAAGAAUGACCUUGGCGCCCGCCCCAAGGGGCCUGGCACCCGGUGCCCCGACCUGCCCCAAACAGUGCCUCUGCCCCCUGGUGACUUGUCAUCAUUCCUGAGUGAUUACUGCCUCCAGCCACUGCUUCCCGUGUAAGCGUGGUGUCCCCCCCUCAGUGAAUGCCAUCACCACCCUGCCCUCUCUUGGUCCUGGCAGAAACUCCAGCGUUAACUCGGAACUUUCUCUUCCUUUGUUCUACUCCUGUCAGUCAAAACGUGUUUGAAUUAGAUUCAUUUUCUCCUUUCCAUGAGGACUUAGUUCAGAGCCUCAUCCAUCCUUCUGUAGACCACUGCUGACUCCAGGCCAGUCUCUCCUCCAAAGGCGCCUCAGCACCUCGUUCCUGUCACUCGGAAUCACAGCUGAGGCCCUCUGCCACGGGGUCAGGCCUGCAGUCCGUAGCGUGGGGACCCUGCAGUGCUCUCCAAGACAGCCCUCAGCGGCACCAGCACCCCCAGGGGCUCUGGAAGCCCCCCCCCCCCCCCCCGCCCGGGCCAGCCAGCAGGUCUCUGUGGCUUGAACUGUCCCUGCUUUGUGCGCCGGGAGCACUCUCCUGCAGCUCGGCCAGCCCCACCUACACGGUAACGCCCAGCGUCCCUGGGACCCUCAGACCCCCACUUACACACUUGCAGGCUGGCUCCGGGGCUGUCCUGUGGACAGCUAGUGCCGCUGGGACCCUCAGAAUUUCCUGCAGACCUCCUGGACCCCACUCUGCCCCUGGGUCUCGGGGGGGGGGGCGGUCUGGGGUCUUGCCUCUGUUAGAGCUCUUGUUGAGUGUAGACACGGGCUACACCUCACUUGCCAUGAGACCGGGGGUCUUCUUUAUUCACUCAACAAACGUUUUAGCACUUGCGUGAGCCGGGCACUCCUCCAGGCACUGGGAUCCCGCCGUGAACAGAUAGAAAAAAGCCCCUCCUCUCGGAGCCUACAGCCUAGUGGAAGGAGCAACAGACAAUGAAUAAAAUGAGGCCCUUGCGUUUUGUUUAACGGUGCUGAGUUUGGGGGGCGGGGAGGGGCUAAGGUUUAAAGAACCUGGUCGGGGAGGAAAGCGCCAGAAUUGUCUAAUUACGUUUUCUCUUUCUGCGGUGUUUUUGUGAACUUUGGAUCAGGAAUACAAGGAAUUUAAUCCAGGUCCUGAGGCACUUCGUAAAUAUCUUUCCAAAAUUCAGCUAGAUCAGCUGUGCUCAUCACUGCAGAGGGCUGGAAAAACACUUCGUGCAGUCCAGAGAGCUACUUUCGCCCCCGGCAUCAGGCUCGUGGGGUGGGAGGCCAGGACACCGCCCCACAUGUCCCACUGAUGCCCGUACUUCUGUGAGGUCAGCCUGCCGCAUUGUUCUUUGGGUCAGCUGCGUUUACAUAGAAGGGCGGUAAUGGGAAUUCCUCAUCCUGAGCAAAACCUUUGACAGUGAGAAAUGCUGGUGUGUGAUAGGGAUUCUGUGUUUCUGGGAGCUGUAACCAGCCCUCCACCAACUGUAGAUGAGAUGGACGGAGUUUCAGGUUCAGGUGACACUACAUUGCCAGAGGGUUGGAAAUGCACAGGGUCAGAGUUGAUAGGUUCCACGGUGACCUCACAUGGACUCGCCUGGAACAUUCCAAACCUGCGCGGCUUCCAUAUAUUAGAAAGCAAGAAUCGUGCAGUAAUUCCUUUUCAUUUUUGGAUGUUGAAAAGUCUGCAGGGUUGACGGGCCCAUUUUCGCCAGCAAAGGCGUUGACCCUGGCUUGUGCAGCGUGGUUGGUCCAGUCACGGUCGGCUCCACUCUCCCAGUUUUUGGGGGUCUGUCUGGUGCUCUCCAGUGAGCGCCUCCUGCCUUCGCAGUGCACCGCACAGCUUGGUUGAACACGGGGCAAAUGAAGGGUUAACACUGAUUCCAUGCAGGGCUCCCUACGAGGUCUCCACUGCCAAGAACGGAUGAGCGUGCACAGAGACAGAUCGUGACGGACGUAAGAGGAAGGUUCUCGGACCUUGGGCCUCAGACUGAAGGACCCCACAGGCUUUCCUCGCCCUCCAGCCUGCAGAUGGCAGAGGCCUUGUGAGCCGAGUCCUGGAAUAAAGCUCUCCUCUAUGUCUGCAUCAAUCCUAGUUUAGAGUUUACAGGAAAUUUGCAAGAACGGUACAAAAUGCGUCUCCCGUCACCCACACACCGUCAGCGUGCUUUCUACAACGAAGGACAUUCUCUUACGAGCUCACAGCGCCUCCAUCUGGAUGAGGAAAUUGGCCUGACUCUCCACUGCCACCCAGUCCGUAGACUUGCUCCAUCUCCACCAACUGUUCCCACAUCACCUGUAGAGAAAAGCAUCUACCCAGGACCCCUCCUUGCAUUUAGUGGCCAUGCCCCCUCGUGGCCUUCCAUCCAGAAUGUUCCUCGGGACUUGUGUGACCUUCCUGUCCUCGGCACAUGGGCGGACUAUUUGGUGGGCUUCCUCUGAGGUUUCCUCAGGGCAUGUUCUUUUGUCGAGUCUGCUGGAGAAGUGGGCCUGGGUCCCCCACAUCCUGCCGGGGGCACCUGAUUCCCACGCAUCCCAGCCAGCUGCUGACAGUGUCUUUACCGUUGCACGUCGCCUUUCUUCCUCAUCGUUAGUGACUGUUCUGUGUGUGGACGGACUUUGCAGUGACCUAAAUAUCCCAUUCCUCACGGCACACUUUCAAUCUAUUAAUUUAGUAACUUAAGUCAGUGUGGACCCGGGCUUCCUGUUUCAUGCUGUGAGUUAUAACCCAUUACUUUCAUCAUUUGGUGCUCAAACAGUCCCCGGUUUGGCCCGUGGGAGCCCUUCCGGCUGGCCUCUGCAUCUGCUCACGUGGCCCUGUCGCUGCCUGAGCAUUUCCUUACUUUCUGGCACAGAAAAAUGCCUCUCCGCACUUAACAUCUACAUGUGUUCCCAUAUUGGUCCAUAUAUGUUGCAAAUGCUGGGUUCACACAGAUGCUUUUGGUUCCACUCGAACGCGGCGAAGAUCAUUGCUCGGCCCGCGUCCGCGUCUGUGACUUACUCCAGCGUCGGCCAACUUGACUGUUGAUCCGUCCGUCCCCGGCCGCGCCCCGCGCAUGCGCUCCGACACCGGCGCUCUUGUCCUCCGUCCUCACGGGGCCUCGUCACACUGGGGCCCCAGCGUCCCAGAGGGAGUCUUACCCCUUGUAAAGCUAGUCAUGGCGUUUGCGUGUUUAUGAUCUAUAAAGUGCGCCUGUGCACACGUGUGCACGGAAAUUCUUCCGGAAGAUGUAAAACCGAAGCCGUGAGUCCAGAGAGAAUGGUGUAGGCUUAGUAGUGAAAGUGUUCUGACAGCUAACACUCAAAAAUCUAUAUCCCAAUUAUCUGCUGUGCGAACCUACCCCGAGGGCUGGUAAGGGUCUCAGCUGGGGGUGAAGGUGGGGGGUGGCCUGGAUUCUCCCCACCUUGCAGGGCUCCAGUGGGCGGGCCUCUAAGGUGGAGUCGGGGGGCACUUCUGGUUCCCUUUAUGCUGGAUUUUUGUGAUGCUGCGAUAACACUCUUCUAAAAUAAUUUGUUUUGCC